GUGAGGAAUAUUGGUCAAUGGACGAGAGUCUGAACCAGCCAAGUCGCGUGAAGGAAGACGGUUCUAUGAAUUGUAAACUUCUUUUGUGCAGGAAUAAAGUGGGUUACGUGUAACCUCUUGUAUGUACUGUACGAAUAAGGAUCGGCUAACUCCGUGCCAGCAGCCGCGGUAAUACGGCGGAUCCGAGCGUUAUCCGGAUUUAUUGGGUUUAAAGGGUGCGUAGGUGGAGUGAUAAGUCAGCGGUGAAAGUUUGCAGCUUAACUGUAAAAUUGCCGUUGAAACUGUCGGUCUUGAGUGCAAAUGAGGUAGGCGGAAUGUGUUUUGUAGCGGUGAAAUGCUGAGAUAUAACACAGAACUCCGAUUGCGAAGGCAGCUUACUGGGAUGCAACUGACACUGAUGCACGAAAGCGUGGGUAUCAAACAGGAUUAGAAACCCCAGUAGUCC
This 445-nucleotide ribosomal RNA is filed under the name uncultured bacterium. Its description in RNAcentral is "partial 16S ribosomal RNA". It matches the Rfam family "Bacterial small subunit ribosomal RNA", at positions 354 to 796 of the family's 1533-position model. The record is from RNAcentral.